AGAGUUUGAUCAUGGCUCAGGACGAACGCUGGCGGCGUGCUUAACACAUGCAAGUCGAACGGAAAGGCCCUUCGGGGUACUCGAGUGGCGAACGGGUGAGUAACACGUGGGUGAUCUGCCCUGCACUCUGGGAUAAGCCUGGGAAACUGGGUCUAAUACCGGAUAGGACCGCAUGCUUCAUGGUGUGUGGUGCAAAGCUUUUGCGGUGUGGGAUGAGCCCGCGGCCUAUCAGCUUGUUGGUGGGGUAAUGGCCUACCAAGGCGACGACGGGUAGCCGGUCUGAGAGGGUGACCGGCCACACUGGGACUGAGAUACGGCCCAGACUCCUACGGGAGGCAGCAGUGGGGAAUAUUGCACAAUGGGCGCAAGCCUGAUGCAGCGACGCCGCGUGAGGGAUGACGGCCUUCGGGUUGUAAACCUCUUUCAGUAGGGACGAAGCGAAAGUGACGGUACCUACAGAAGAAGGACCGGCCAACUACGUGCCAGCAGCCGCGGUAAUACGUAGGGUCCGAGCGUUGUCCGGAAUUACUGGGCGUAAAGAGCUCGUAGGUGGUUUGUCGCGUUGUUCGUGAAAACUCACAGCUUAACUGUGGGCGUGCGGGCGAUACGGGCAGACUAGAGUACUGCAGGGGAGACUGGAAUUCCUGGUGUAGCGGUGGAAUGCGCAGAUAUCAGGAGGAACACCGGUGGCGAAGGCGGGUCUCUGGGCAGUAACUGACGCUGAGGAGCGAAAGCGUGGGUAGCGAACAGGAUUAGAUACCCUGGUAGUCCAA
RNAcentral lists this ribosomal RNA (773 nucleotides) under uncultured bacterium. Its description in RNAcentral is "bacterial SSU rRNA". It matches the Rfam family "Bacterial small subunit ribosomal RNA", at positions 8 to 798 of the family's 1533-position model. The record is from RNAcentral.